AUUGAACGCUGGCGGCAGGCUUAACACAUGCAAGUCGAGCGGGGAAGGGUAGCUUGCUACCUAACCUAGCGGCGGACGGGUGAGUAAUGCUUAGGAAUCUGCCAUUUAGUGGGGGACAACAUUCCGAAAGGAAUGCUAAUACCGCAUACGUCCUACGGGAGAAAGCAGGGGAUCUUCGGACCUUGCGCUAAAUGAUGAGCCUAAGUCGGAUUAGCUAGUUGGUGGGGUAAAGGCCUACCAAGGCGACGAUCUGUAGCGGGUCUGAGAGGAUGGGCAGCCACACGGGGACUGAGACACGGCCCAGACGCCUACGGGAGGCAGCAGUGGGGAAUAUUGGACAAUGGGCGGAAGCCUGAUCCAGCCAUGCCGCGUGUGUGAAGAAGGCCUUAUGGUUGUAAAGCACUUUAAGCGAGGAGGAGGCUACUUAGAUUAAUACUCUAGGAUAGUGGACGUUACUCGCAGAAUAAGCACCGGCUAACUCUGUGCCAGCCGCCGCCGUAA
RNAcentral lists this ribosomal RNA (501 nucleotides) under uncultured bacterium. RNAcentral's name for it is "partial 16S ribosomal RNA". It matches the Rfam family "Bacterial small subunit ribosomal RNA", at positions 30 to 523 of the family's 1533-position model. The record is from RNAcentral.